CUACAGAUGACCAAGAGCCUCAUGUUCUUUCCAUUUGCGAGCCUGCCAAAUCUACUGAUAGAAAGGAAUCUGAGAGUACUGAGAUCUAUAUUUUGAAGGAAAAACAAAGAGGAAAAAUGAAUGGACACGAAAAGGACAGAUACACAGAGAAUGGCAGAUGGGAAGAAAGUCCGAAACAAGCAGUGUGGCUGAAAGCAAGCAGUGUGGCACGCAUAGACCCAAGAAGCUAUCAUUGGUUGUCUUUCUCAACCUAUGGACGGAAGAUGGUGAGACGGAGGCUGGCGGGUAGAUCUAGGCACCGGCAUCACAGAAGCAUGGGAAAGGAGGCAUGGUUGGGAAGAGGAAGAAGCUAUGCCGCCAUGCAGGACCAACAAAGGCUCCCACCUCACAAGGAGGGCUGGAGCCACGAGGACCCUUCUGAGUCAUCCUAAAUUGGAACAAGGGAGCCAGGUCUUUAUAACAAGUGUUGAUCACUUAUUAGAUGUGGGGAUGUCUGAAAGGAAGCAUGAGAGUGAGCGAGGCAGUUUCCUUCAGCUAACACCAUCUCCAAAGAGAGUAGAAGGCACGGAGUCCGUGCAGAAGCUCAGUGACUAGUUCCAGACAAUCUGCUGUCUUCCAGCUGUGCUUGCUCAAUUCUGCCUCAUUCUGGGAGCCCUGGUGUCACCACAGUGAAUAGGAUGGGUUCAGUGGAGAUGAGACUGCGCCAAGCCAGCUUCGCCCACAGCAUACCAAUGAGUGCCCUGGGAAGGCAUUAAUAAUGCAGAGCACACUAGGGUAGCCAGCCCGGCGAGGCCCUGUACGCACAUCAACGGAGGCAGCCGGGACUCACACGACUGAAUGUGUCUGCACAGGCUGACUGUCUGCGAGGCUGCCUGGUCUCCUAAUCGCCAGUCUCCUUUCCCGUCACCCUCAAGGGCUUCAUGAAUAA
This is a long non-coding RNA of Bos taurus (domestic cattle), 928 nucleotides long. The record is from Ensembl. NCBI's taxonomy places the organism in Eukaryota, Metazoa, Chordata, Mammalia, Artiodactyla, Bovidae.